Long non-coding RNA from Fukomys damarensis (Damara mole-rat), 520 nucleotides. RefSeq lists it as uncharacterized. NCBI's taxonomy places the organism in Eukaryota, Metazoa, Chordata, Mammalia, Rodentia, Bathyergidae. The transcript is spliced from 3 exons. The record is from RefSeq and is a predicted model, not a curated record.
CUCUCAGGGGUUCCACCACCUCCCAGUGGUGCUGCAGACUGGGGACGAAGAUUUAACAUAUGAGCCUUUAUGAGGACAUUCCAGAGCUAAACUACUGCAAGUCCAAGAAGCAAACUGUUUUAUAAGAAAAAAAUGUCAUGACCAAAGAUUAUGCUGGUCUUAACACCGUGAUCUUUCCACAAGUCAUGUGGAGCCCAUUCAAAAGCAUUGCGGGUCAAAUGGACACCAUUUUCCUCGGGAAGAUGGAGGGGGAAGUGGAGAGGCUACUCAGACCACAGAAUCGUCUGUGACUUCCAGGCAUGAGUUGCUUAGCAAAAUGACAGGAACUGUAAACACAUUCAUUGGGAGGGGUACAGUUCGUGACAUAUCAAAGUUCCGGAAUAACAUCCAUCAGCACUUCACUAUCAACAUGCAGCAGAUUGAACAUGUUUUCUUCUGAGGAACACUCUGCUCAUCCCUAAAUCAGAAUCUUUGGAGAAAAUGCAGAGCAUGUUGAAAAGCAGAUAAUAAAUAGUAACAG